UGAAUUUUGCAAACAAGGAUGUCGAUAUUUAAGUGAUUUUUUUGAUAUCUUUGCCGAGAAAGAUGAGGUUACAAGAACCAAGUUCCAUAGUUCAAAAACAUUUGAAUUGAAUGAUUUUUUUACGCUCUUUGAGGAAGAAUCCCUAGAUGUUGUUGAAGAUGUGUUUUUUAAAGAAUUUGGCGUAUGUGUUGAUCCGAUUUGGGAAACUUUUAUAGCCAAUUUUCAGCAACAUGUUCCUUCUUUUCAUGAAAAACAGUUGGGGAUUUUAUGUUUCAAGUAUCAUUGUUUUGUGAGGUUCUUAAAAUUUGAUUUUUAUGCAAGUAAAGUUCGUGGAAGAAUUCA
This 342-nucleotide long non-coding RNA is filed under the name Aquilegia coerulea. Its description in RNAcentral is "long non-coding RNA (ACOE_LNC000399)". The record is from RNAcentral. Lineage: Eukaryota; Viridiplantae; Streptophyta; Magnoliopsida; Ranunculales; Ranunculaceae.